CCAACCAGCCGCCCUGAGGUGGGUGUUGGAAUCAUGCCCAUUUUAGAGAGCAAUAAACCAAGGCUUUGAAACAGACGGUCAAGAACUGGCUCGAGGUCACACACAGACCGUUCCCAGCUGGAUAUAAUGAAAAGCAUCAAUCUUCAUCAAGACCGCCUUCAAAAACACAAGCACACGCACAGAUCUCAGAAGUAGAAUCCCAGUGACCCCACUGGUAGCAGGCCCUACCAUGCCCAUUUGACAGAAGGGACCUCAGAGGCUUCGGAUAAGACAAGCUGGCCCAGGCCACACAGCAGGGGUGUGGAGGGGCAUGGGGUCAGGGUCUCCCCGCUGCCCCUGCGCUCAGAGCGUGGACCUACCAGCCAGAAUAUCCACUCCUGCGUCCAGGGAGGCUGUGUCCCCACGACCUCCCAGUCAUGAUGGAAUCUGCUCAUGUAAAGGCCGAGGCCACCAUCAGCCAGCACGGCAGCCCCCCCGCGUGACUGCACUGCCAUCUCCUCGUGCGCAGCCAAGGUCACGCGUGUGCAAGAACGCCUCCUGGAACCACCAGGCUGACCCACACGCAGGGAGUAACUCCAGCCAAGCUGCACAAAGCGCUGAGUCAAAUGUCACAUUUGGGCUCAUUUAUCUAACACCCUUCACGUGUGCCAAGAAAUCACUCGAUGCUAUUUAUUUCCACUCCUGGGCAUUUCCAAGAAUCCUGCACACCGUGUAUGGUCGUUCAUUUUUACUAACACACUUCACACACAUAGACACACAUACACGGAAACUCUGGUUGGGAACACCGUUAACAGUAACAUCUGGUCGAGGAAGUCAAAGACGCUCCCAUCAGCCAGGAAGUGACACGUCUCUCCAAUGACCUACAGCUAGAUUUUCUGGACUCAUAUAGCUUAGAAAGUGAUCGCCAGCCAGAAAAACAUGACUCACCCAGCGUGUCAUGAAAAUGACUGGUGUCCCUGACAGCAGAAGAACUAUAAACAAUAAAAGACCUUUACUUGGGGUUUUA
This is a non-coding RNA of Odocoileus virginianus texanus, 1006 nucleotides long. NCBI's taxonomy places the organism in Eukaryota, Metazoa, Chordata, Mammalia, Artiodactyla, Cervidae. The record is from RefSeq and is a predicted model, not a curated record.